UACGUAGGUGGCAAGCGUUUGUCCGGAAUUAUUGGGCGUAAAGCGCGCGCAGGCGGCCUCUUAAGUCUGAUGUGAAAGCCCCCGGCUCAACCGGGGGAGGGCCAUUGGAAACUGGGAGGCUUGAGUAUAGGAGAGAAGAGUGGAAUUCCACGUGUAGCGGUGAAAUGCGUAGAGAUGUGGAGGAACACCAGUGGCGAAGGCGACUCUUUGGCCUAUAACUGACGCUGAGGCGCGAAAGCGUGGGGAGCAAACAGG
This 255-nucleotide ribosomal RNA is filed under the name uncultured bacterium. Its description in RNAcentral is "partial 16S ribosomal RNA". It matches the Rfam family "Bacterial small subunit ribosomal RNA", at positions 524 to 776 of the family's 1533-position model. The record is from RNAcentral.